Molecule: long non-coding RNA, 526 nt
Filed under: Phoenix dactylifera (date palm)
Lineage: Eukaryota; Viridiplantae; Streptophyta; Magnoliopsida; Arecales; Arecaceae
Description: long non-coding RNA (PDAC_LNC022252)
Source: RNAcentral
CUCCUCCUCCCUAACCCAAAUCCAACAAAUCCGUAACCGGAAGACCGUCCACGCACCGCUCUACCUUCCAACCUUCUCGCUCUCUCGCUGGGAGCCAUCGCGACAUUCUCGUGGGCGUCCUUCCGGUUCCGCACCGGCUGAUGAAACUCCUUUAUAAGAGCCCGGAGGUUAAGGUUGUGGCGAUGGAUUGGAUUCUGAGGCACCAUGGUGUUGGGCUUGGAUCGAUUCUAUUGCUUCUCUUCUCUAAAUGCUCUUCGUGGUUAGUCUUUUUUCGAAGCUUUCUAUCUAUAUAUCUUCUAUCGAAAUUCAUUCAAGAAACUUCAAUUUUCAGAUAGAAGGAAACGAUCAGCAAAAAGAGUUGAUCUUGUUCUGAAAAUAUUGUUAUAUUUUUUAUAACAUAAAUAAAUGUCCUUUUAAUAUUUUGCAUUAUUCUCUUAUCGACUUUGAUUGCUGGCUAUCAUCAGAAAAAAAGAAAAAAAACAUUGAUUAAUGAUUGCUGGCUCUACCAGUUGCUUGCGCUGUCUGG